UAUUUAUUUNUAAGUCUUGACCAAAUCAUGUGCCAGCGGUCGCGGUAAUACAUGGAAGACUAGUGUUAUUCAUCUUUAAUAGGUUUAAAGGGUACCUAGACGGUAAAUAAGACCUAUAUUAGAACAGGUACUAAUUUACUAGAGUUUGAUAUAAGGAGAUAGUACGAGGAGAGUAGAGAUUAAAUUCUGUGAUUCCCUAUAGGACUAUUUAAAGCAAAAGCAAUCUUUUAUGUAAAAACUGACGUUGAGGGACGAAGGCUCAGGUAGCGAACAGGAUUAGAUACCCCAGUAGUCAGAGCAGACAAUGAUGAAUGUCAUAUGUAAGUAAAUAAGUAUUUAUAUAUAAAUGAAAAUGUAAGCAUUCCACCUCAAGAGUAAUGCGGCAACGCAUAAACUGAAAUCACUAGACCGUUUUUGAAACCAGUAGUGAAGUAUGUUGUUUAAUUUGAUAAUCCACGGAAAACCUUACCACAAUUUGAAUAUAUGUGUUACAUAUACAAGAGUUGCACGGCUGUUUUGAGUCAAUGUCGUGAGACUUUGGUUAGUUCCAAGAAAUUGACGUAAACCCUUAAUUUAUUUAUAUAUAAAUUAGUUCUCCAUUAUAUUGGAUAAGAUAACAGGGAUUAAGAUAAGUCAUCAUGGCCCGAACAUUGUGGGCUAUA
This 662-nucleotide ribosomal RNA is filed under the name Absconditella sp. Spribille 39168. Its description in RNAcentral is "SSU rRNA". It matches the Rfam family "Bacterial small subunit ribosomal RNA", at positions 476 to 1218 of the family's 1533-position model. The record is from RNAcentral. Lineage: Eukaryota; Fungi; Ascomycota; Lecanoromycetes; Ostropales; Stictidaceae.